Molecule: small RNA, 292 nt
Filed under: Ustilaginoidea virens
Lineage: Eukaryota; Fungi; Ascomycota; Sordariomycetes; Hypocreales; Clavicipitaceae
Description: 5' ureB small RNA
Rfam family: 5' ureB small RNA
Source: Rfam by way of RNAcentral
CGUUUGCCUGCUGGGGGCAAAUGUAAUGGAUAUGCGAGUCAAUGCCGCCAGCCGUGAUAAUCUUGCCCUCGCCAGCCACCACGUCGGUGCAACUGCCCACCACCAUGUUCGGCGUCACCCCAUCCAUGAAGUCGGGGCUGCCCGCUUUGCCGAUGCCGACGAUGAUGCCGUCCUUGACGCCAAUGUCCGCCUUGUAGAUGCCGGACCAGUCCACGAUGAGGGCAUUCGUCACCACCGUGUCCAGCGACUCGGCGUCGGACCGGCCGGCAGCCUGGCCCAUGCCUUCCCGCAG